Molecule: ribosomal RNA, 450 nt
Filed under: uncultured bacterium
Lineage: Bacteria
Description: partial 16S ribosomal RNA
Rfam family: Bacterial small subunit ribosomal RNA
Source: RNAcentral
GUGGGGAAUAUUGGACAAUGGGCGAAAGCCUGAUCCAGCCAUGCCGCGUGUGUGAAGAAGGUCUUCGGAUUGUAAAGCACUUUAAGUUGGGAGGAAGGGUAGUAACCUAAUACGUUGCUACUUUGACGUUACCGACAGAAUAAGCACCGGCUAACUUCGUGCCAGCAGCCGCGGUAAUACGAAGGGUGCAAGCGUUAAUCGGAAUUACUGGUCGUAAAGCGCGCGUAGGUGGUUCAGUAAGUUGGAAGUGAAAUCCCCGGGCUCAACCUGGGAACUGCUUUCAAAACUGCUGAGCUAGAGUACGGUAGAGGGUGGUUGAAUUUCCUGUGUAGCGGUGAAAUGCGUAGAUAUAGGAAGGAACACCAGUGGCGAAGGCGACCACCUGGACUGAUACUGACACUGAGGUGCGAAAGCGUGGGGAGCAAACAGGAUUAGAAACCCGGGUAGUCC